UCACAGGUCUUCUCCACUGAGCAGUAUUGAAAUGUAGGAAAGGAUGCAGAUCAACUGAGACUACAGACUUGACAUUGGUUACAUUGCUUCCCCAAAGAUUUGUCAAUGAAUAUGGCGCAAUGGGAAGACACAAGGAACAAAGAAACCUUUGCAGAGGACAAGGUGGAAGCCAUAGAUGCUGAUAUCAGUUGCACAUGUACCACUGACCAUCCUCUGGAGUGAUGGUUCACAAUUUGUCCUACAGAUUCCAUGCUCACAUCCCCAAAGAGCACCCUGACUAUGAAAGGAAUAGGAGAAGUUCAGAAAAUAAUUUUGAAAAUAUGCUUGAAAAGUCAUAAAAGUUCAUGCAUUUCCAUAGAACUUAAUGCAUUGUGUACAGUCAUCCUUAAUAAAUGUAUUGCUAAUUAAA
This is a long non-coding RNA of Dromiciops gliroides (monito del monte), 409 nucleotides long. RefSeq lists it as uncharacterized. The record is from RefSeq and is a predicted model, not a curated record. Lineage: Eukaryota; Metazoa; Chordata; Mammalia; Microbiotheria; Microbiotheriidae. The transcript is spliced from 2 exons.